Pelodiscus sinensis (Chinese soft-shelled turtle) is the source of this 665-nucleotide non-coding RNA. The record is from RefSeq and is a predicted model, not a curated record. NCBI's taxonomy places the organism in Eukaryota, Metazoa, Chordata, Testudines, Trionychidae.
UAGCAUAGCCAGUCAACGUACCUUAAGUUCGACUUACCGCAGCAUCCUCUACUGCGGGGGUGGAGGGUCAAUGAGAGAAACUCUCCUGUCAACUUCUACUGCUCAUGACCCGUUGGAGUACUGGUGUCGAUGAGAGCACAAUCAGCAGUCGAUUUGGUGUGUCCUUUCUAGACCAGUUAAAUUGAUCCUCCGGGAGACCGAUCUUCACAGCAUGGAUCUCCCACUGAACUGUUACAACUAUUGACACUCUUCAAAAGGUUCCGCGCUGAACCCUACCCAGACUCGGCAGGCUCCAAUGGACAUCUUCAAACCCAGAGAAUGGAGGGGCAAGAGCUUCCCCUGUGUGAUGCCAAAACCAACAAAGCCCCACGGAUCAGGUAUUAGAAUCUACAAAGGCUUCAAAUUACUUCAGAACUAUACAUCUAAGAAGUGGCAUCUAACCAAGAUAGAAACUGCUAAACUACAUUUGCUGGAAUGGAUUGAGACUAAUAUGGGAAUAAACAUUUAAAAAAGAAAUGCCUAAUGUCACCCAUAGUGCUGAAGAACUGAUCACCAGAAAGGAGAAUAAUGCUUAUUUUUAAAGGCUGGUAUGCAGGGAUGUAUGAUGUACUGUAGUUUUAUAUGAAGGCUUUACUUGUACAGUAAUUGACAAAAGGGAAAUUAAA